GGGGGAUAUUGCACAAUGGGGGAAACCCUGAUGCAGCGACGCCGCGUGGAGGAAGAAGGUUUUCGGAUUGUAAACUCCUGUCGUUAGGGACGAUAAUGACGGUACCUAACAAGAAAGCACCGGCUAACUACGUGCCAGCAGCCGCGGUAAAACGUAGGGUGCAAGCGUUGUCCGGAAUUACUGGGUGUAAAGGGAGCGCAGGCGGACCGGCAAGUUGGAAGUGAAAACUAUGGGCUCAACCCAUAAAUUGCUUUCAAAACUGCUGGCCUUGAGUAGUGCAGAGGUAGGUGGAAUUCCCGGUGUAGCGGUGGAAUGCGUAGAUAUCGGGAGGAACACCAGUGGCGAAGGCGACCUACUGGGCACCAACUGACGCUGAGGCUCGAAAGCAUGGGUAGCAAACAGGAUUAGAUACCCUGGUAGUCCAUGCCGUAAACGAUGAUUACUAGGUGUUGGAGGAUUGACCCCUUCAGUGCCGCAGUUAACACAAUAAGUAAUCCACCUGGGGAGUACGACCGCAAGGUUGAAACUCAAAGGAAUUGACGGGGGCCCGCACAAGCAGUGGAGUAUGUGGUUUAAUUCGAAGCAACGCGAAGAACCUUACCAGGUCUUGACAUCCGAUGCAUAGCGCAGAGAUGCGUGAAGUCCUUCGGGACAUCGAGACAGGUGGUGCAUGGUUGUCGUCAGCUCGUGUCGUGAGAUGUUGGGUUAAGUCCCGCAACGAGCGCAACCCUUAUUGCCAGUUACUACGAAAGAGGACUCUGGCGAGACUGCCGUUGACAAAACGGAGGAAGGUGGGGAUGACGUCAAAUCAUCAUGCCCUUUAUGACCUGGGCUACACACGUACUACAAUGGCGUUUAACAAAGAGAAGCAAGACCGCGAGGUGGAGCAAAACUCAAAAACAACGUCUCAGUUCAGAUUGCAGGCUGCAACUCGCCUGCAUGAAGUCGGAAUUGCUAGUAAUCGCGGAUCAGCAUGCCGCGGUGAAUACGUUCCCG
This 996-nucleotide ribosomal RNA is filed under the name uncultured bacterium. Its description in RNAcentral is "bacterial SSU rRNA". It matches the Rfam family "Bacterial small subunit ribosomal RNA", at positions 356 to 1376 of the family's 1533-position model. The record is from RNAcentral.